AACAAAUAUUAAAGGCAACGCCUGCCCAGUGAACAAUUAAACGGCCGCGGUACCCUAACCGUGCAAAGGUAGCAAAAUCAUUUGUCUAUUAACUGUAGACCUGUAUGAAAGGCGAAUUGAGGGUUUAACUGUCUCUUAUGAUAAAUCUAUUAAACUGAUCUCCCAGUAAAAAAGCUGGGAUACCCCCACAAGACCAGAAGACCCUGUGAAGCUUUAAUUAAACUAUUAAACCCCCUAAUAACUACUUUAGGUUGGGGCGACCUUGGAAACAAAAAGAACUUCCAAAUACUACACACCAAACACCACCGGCCCACAAGCCAAUUAAUGACCCAGUAACACUGAUAAAUGAACAAAGUUACUCCAGGGAUAACAGCGCUAUCUUCUUCAAGAGCCCAUAUCAAAAAGAAGGUUUACGACCUCGAUGUUGGAUCAGGACAUCCCAAUGGUCAGCCGCUAUUAACGGUU
Molecule: ribosomal RNA, 465 nt
Filed under: Atretium schistosum (split keelback)
Lineage: Eukaryota; Metazoa; Chordata; Lepidosauria; Squamata; Natricidae
Description: partial large subunit ribosomal RNA
Rfam family: Bacterial large subunit ribosomal RNA
Source: RNAcentral